CACCGGCGCCCUGAGUGGCAAUCAGAAUUAUUGGGCCUAAAGCGUUCGUAGCCGGAUUUGUAAGUUUCUUGUGAAAUUAUUCAGCUUAACUGAAUAAAUGGCAGGAAAUACUGCAAGUCUAGGGACCGGGAGGAGUUAGAAGUAUUCUAUGGGGAGCGGUAAAAUGUUAUAAUCCAUGGAAGACUACCUGUGGUGAAGACGUCUAACUAGAACGGAUCCGACGGUGAGGAACGAAGGCUAGGGGAGCAAACCGG
Molecule: ribosomal RNA, 254 nt
Filed under: uncultured bacterium
Lineage: Bacteria
Description: partial 16S ribosomal RNA
Rfam family: Archaeal small subunit ribosomal RNA
Source: RNAcentral